RNAcentral lists this ribosomal RNA (441 nucleotides) under uncultured Propionibacteriaceae bacterium. RNAcentral's name for it is "partial 16S ribosomal RNA". The record is from RNAcentral. Lineage: Bacteria; Bacillati; Actinomycetota; Actinomycetes; Propionibacteriales; Propionibacteriaceae.
GACUACCGGGGUAUCUAAGCCUGUUUGCUCCCCACGCUUUCGCUCCUCAGCGUCAGGAAAGGUCCAGAGAACCGCCUUCGCCACCGGUGUUCCUCCUGAUAUCUGCGCAUUCCACCGCUCCACCAGGAAUUCCGUUCUCCCCUACCUUCCUCAAGUCUGCCCGUAUCGAAAGCAAGCCCACAGUUAAGCUGCAGGUUUUCACUUCCGACGCAACAAACCACCUACGAGCCCUUUACGCCCAAUAAAUCCGGACAACGCUCGCACCCUACGUAUCACCGCGGCUGCUGGCACGUAGUUAGCCGGUGCUUCUUCCCCAGGUACCGUCUACAUUCGCCCCUGGUGAAAGCGGUUUACAACCCGAAGGCCGUCAUCCCGCACGCGGCGUUGCUGCAUCAGGCUUUCGCCCAUUGUGCAAUAUUCCCCACUGCAGCCCCCCGUAGG